CCCUCCCCGCCUACGGGAGGCAGCAGUGGGGAAUAUUGGACAAUGGGCGCAAGCCUGAUCCAGCCAUACCGCGUGGGUGAAGAAGGCCUUCGGGUUGUAAAGCCCUUUUGUUGGGAAAGAAAUCCAGCUGGUUAAUACCCGGUUGGGAUGACGGUACCCAAAGAAUAAGCACCGGCUAACUUCGUGCCAGCAGCCGCGGUAAUACGAAGGGUGCAAGCGUUACUCGGAAUUACUGGGCGUAAAGCGUGCGUAGGUGGUCGUUUAAGUCCGUUGUGAAAGCCCUGGGCUCAACCUGGGAACUGCAGUGGAUACUGGACGACUAGAGUGUGGUAGAGGGUAGCGGAAUUCCUGGUGUAGCAGUGAAAUGCGUAGAGAUCAGGAGGAACAUCCAUGGCGAAGGCAGCUACCUGGACCAACACUGACACUGAGGCACGAAAGCGUGGGGAGCAAACAGGAUUAGAUACCCUGGUAGUCCACGCCCUAAACGAUGCGAACUGGAUGUUGGGUGCAAUUUGGCACGCAGUAUCGAAGCUAACGCG
RNAcentral lists this ribosomal RNA (539 nucleotides) under uncultured Stenotrophomonas sp. RNAcentral describes it as "bacterial SSU rRNA". It matches the Rfam family "Bacterial small subunit ribosomal RNA", at positions 329 to 859 of the family's 1533-position model. Lineage: Bacteria; Pseudomonadati; Pseudomonadota; Gammaproteobacteria; Lysobacterales; Lysobacteraceae. The record is from RNAcentral.